GCCCAAUUGGCCGAGUGGUUAAGGCGUUAAAUUUAACAUUUAAUUUUAUACUAUGAAAAGGUCAAUGGUUCAAUUCCAUUAGAGCG
Non-coding RNA from Anaeramoeba flamelloides, 86 nucleotides. The record is from the annotation of a GenBank genome assembly. NCBI's taxonomy places the organism in Eukaryota, Anaeramoebidae.